ACAAGUAGCGGAGCAUGUGGUUUAAUUCGAAGCAACGCGAAGAACCUUACCUAAGCUUGACAUCCCAAUGACAUCUCCUUAAUCGGAGAAUUCCCUUCGGGGACAUUGGUGACAGGUGGUGCAUGGUUGUCGUCAGCUCGUGUCGUGAGAUGUUGGGUUAAGUCCCGCAACGAGCGCAACCCUUGUCUUUAGUUGCCAUCAUUAAGUUGGGCACUCU
RNAcentral lists this ribosomal RNA (217 nucleotides) under Clostridioides difficile. RNAcentral describes it as "partial 16S ribosomal RNA". It matches the Rfam family "Bacterial small subunit ribosomal RNA", at positions 925 to 1141 of the family's 1533-position model. The record is from RNAcentral. Lineage: Bacteria; Bacillati; Bacillota; Clostridia; Peptostreptococcales; Peptostreptococcaceae.